AUGCAUUGGUUUGCAUGGUGGAGGAUCUGUACAAAGGAGAGGGGAGGCAUGGGAUUUCGGUACAUUCAGAGUUUAAACUUAGCGAUGCUCGCGAAACAGUGCUAGAGAUUAAUUGACAACUAUGAUUCCCUAUGUGCUCGAGUCUUACGAGCCAAGUAUUACCCCACGGGAGAUAUACUAAACAGCCAGUUAAAGAAGGGUUCGUCCUAUGUGUGGCAGAGCAUCUGGUCAGGAAUUCAAACUUUCAAACAUGGUUGUAUUUGGAGAGUGGGUAACGGAAACAAGAUAAACAUAUGGGAUGAUUACUGGAUUGCAAAUAGUGCAUCAAAGAAAAUCCUUACAGCCCAUGGGAACCGAGUUCUCACAAUGGUGAACGAGCUCAUAGACCCAACUACGGAAGAAUGGGAUGAGCAACUGAUUCGGGACAACUUCUGGCAUAUAGACGCAGAACGGAUUUUGCAAAUCCCAUUAUUUCAUGUGGAAACUGAAGACUAUGUGGCAUGGCAUCUAACAAAGAGUGGAGUUUUUUCAGCACGCUCC
RNAcentral lists this ribosomal RNA (540 nucleotides) under Triticum aestivum (bread wheat). Its description in RNAcentral is "partial small subunit ribosomal RNA". Lineage: Eukaryota; Viridiplantae; Streptophyta; Magnoliopsida; Poales; Poaceae. The record is from RNAcentral.